RNAcentral lists this unclassified non-coding RNA (193 nucleotides) under uncultured fungus. Its description in RNAcentral is "partial contains 18S rRNA and ITS1". The stretch from base 1 to 46 matches the Rfam family "Eukaryotic small subunit ribosomal RNA", at positions 1786 to 1831 of the family's 1831-position model. Lineage: Eukaryota; Fungi. The record is from RNAcentral.
AAGUCGUAACAAGGUUUCCGUAGGUGAACCUGCGGAAGGAUCAUUAUUGUACAACGUGUGUGAGGCGUGUUAGGGCUGUCGGUGACUUUUUGACACAAAAGUCGUGCACGCCGGAGCACGUCCUCUCUCUCACAUAAAAUCCAUCUCACCCUUUUGUGCACCACCGCACGGGCACCUUUGGGAGGCUUGGGUU